RNAcentral lists this unclassified non-coding RNA (338 nucleotides) under Hevea brasiliensis (rubber tree). Lineage: Eukaryota; Viridiplantae; Streptophyta; Magnoliopsida; Malpighiales; Euphorbiaceae. The record is from RNAcentral.
GUCGAAUCAAAACGGAUAACAUCAUACACCAGCUUCACACUUUUACUUAAAUCGCGUAGUCUUUCAAUGAUGGGCUUUACGCGAACAGACUGAAGAGGUAUGAAUGUCUGAGGAGGAAGCCUUUGUUCUUUCAAAUACUUUAUACAUUCUUUUCCUGUAUGUUCAUCCUGAACAACCACGGCAUCCAUAAAUUUACCCAUUGCAACAGUAACAGCCAGGUUGUACUUCUUCUGUAUUGGACGACAAAGAUCAGUCAUGCGACCAUGAACUCCUUGAAACAGCCGUUUCAAAGUUUCAACAGCUUGAGAUAAUUUAGCAUCUCUUUCAUUUUCAUAUCU